RNAcentral lists this ribosomal RNA (387 nucleotides) under uncultured bacterium. RNAcentral's name for it is "bacterial SSU rRNA". It matches the Rfam family "Bacterial small subunit ribosomal RNA", at positions 29 to 409 of the family's 1533-position model. The record is from RNAcentral.
AACGAACGCUGGCGGCGCGCUUAACACAUGCAAGUCGAACGAGAAGGCGUAGCAAUACGCUUGUAAAGUGGCGAACGGGUGAGGAAUACAUGGGUAACCUACCCUCGAGUGGGGGAUAACCCGCCGAAAGGCGGGCUAAUACCGCGUACGCUUCCGAUCUUGCGGGAUCGGAAGAAAGCUGUCCCAAGGGGAUGGCGCUCAAGGAUGGGCUCAUGUCCUAUCAGCUUGUUGGUAGGAACGGCCUACCAAGGCAUCGACGGGUAGCUGGUCUGAGAGGACGAUCAGCCACACUGGCACUGCGACACGGGCCAGGACUCCUACGGGAGGCAGCAGUGAGGAAUAUUGCGCAAUGGGCAAAGCCUGACGCAGCGACGCCGCGUGGGGGAU